Molecule: microRNA, 22 nt
Filed under: Diachasmimorpha longicaudata
Lineage: Eukaryota; Metazoa; Arthropoda; Insecta; Hymenoptera; Braconidae
Also listed under: 2 other names
Description: Dlo-Mir-932_3p* (star (passenger))
Source: RNAcentral
UGCAAGCACCGCGGGAGUGAGG